UCUCCGUAGGUGAACCAGCGGAAGGAUCAUUAUAGAAUUACAGAACUCCCAAACCUGUCGCUACGCCGCCAGGAUGUGCACGCGCGCGUGCCCCCCCCCCGCUCCCUCUGCCCCCUAUGUGCCCCCCCGCGACCCAACACACUCGGCAUUUUUGGUGGCGGGCCUAAGUUUUCUCAACAACAUAGUACGCAAUGUUGAACGUCUUUUUUGUUGUUGCGAUCACGCAAUCAAAACACAUUUCAACAACGGAUCUCAUGGCUCUCGCCUCGUCGAUGAACC
RNAcentral lists this unclassified non-coding RNA (279 nucleotides) under plant metagenome. RNAcentral describes it as "partial contains small subunit ribosomal RNA, internal transcribed spacer 1, and 5.8S ribosomal RNA". The record is from RNAcentral.